UGGAUCCAGACUUUGAUUCUGGCUCAGGAUGAACGCUAGCUACAGGCUUAACACAUGCAAGUCGAGGGGAAACGACAUCGAAAGCUUGCUUUUGAUGGGCGUCGACCGGCGCACGGGUGAGUAACGCGUAUCCAACCUGCCCACCACUUGGGGAUAACCUUGCGAAAGUAAGACUAAUACCCAAUGAUAUCUCUAGAAGACAUCUGAAAGAGAUUAAAGAUUUAUCGGUGAUGGAUGGGGAUGCGUCUGAUUAGCUUGUUGGCGGGGUAACGGCCCACCAAGGCAACGAUCAGUAGGGGUUCUGAGAGGAAGGUCCCCCACAUUGGAACUGAGACACGGUCCAAACUCCUACGGGAGGCAGCAGUGAGGAAUAUUGGUCAAUGGACGAGAGUCUGAACCAGCCAAGUAGCGUGCAGGAUGACGGCCCUAUGGGUUGUAAACUGCUUUUAUAAGGGAAUAAAGUGAGUCUCGUGAGACUUUUUGCAUGUACCUUAUGAAUAAGGACCGGCUAAUUCCGUGCCAGCAGCCGCGGUAAUACGGAAGGUCCGGGCGUUAUCCGGAUUUAUUGGGUUUAAAGGGAGCGUAGGCCGGAGAUUAAGCGUGUUGUGAAAUGUAGACGCUCAACGUCUGCACUGCAGCGCGAACUGGUUUCCUUGAGUACGCACAAAGUGGGCGGAAUUCGUGGUGUAGCGGCGAAAUGCUUAGAUAUCACGAAGAACUCCGAUUGCGAAGGCAGCUCACUGGAGCGCAACUGACGCUGAAGCUCGAAAGUGCGGGUAUCGAACAGGAUUAGAUACCCUGGUAGUCCGCACGGUAAACGAUGGAUGCCCGCUGUUGGUCUGAAUAGGUCAGCGGCCAAGCGAAAGCAUUAAGCAUCCCACCUGGGGAGUACGCCGGCAACGGUGCAACUCAAAGGAAUUGACGGA
RNAcentral lists this ribosomal RNA (926 nucleotides) under uncultured Bacteroidota bacterium. RNAcentral's name for it is "bacterial SSU rRNA". It matches the Rfam family "Bacterial small subunit ribosomal RNA", at positions 1 to 917 of the family's 1533-position model. Lineage: Bacteria; Pseudomonadati; Bacteroidota. The record is from RNAcentral.